This 260-nucleotide ribosomal RNA is filed under the name Anaerosalibacter bizertensis. Its description in RNAcentral is "partial 23S ribosomal RNA". It matches the Rfam family "Bacterial large subunit ribosomal RNA", at positions 2662 to 2925 of the family's 2925-position model. Lineage: Bacteria; Bacillati; Bacillota; Tissierellia; Tissierellales; Sporanaerobacteraceae. The record is from RNAcentral.
UUGAGAAGAGCCAUUCCUAGUACGAGAGGACCGGAAUGGACAGACCGCUGGUGCAUCAGUUGUCUUGCCAAAGGCACAGCUGAGUAGCUAUGUCUGGAAGGGAUAAGUGCUGAAGGCAUCUAAGCACGAAGCCUCCUUCAAGAUGAGAUUUCCCAUCGUAAGAGUAAGACUCCAAGUAGACUACUUGGUUGAUAGGUCCCAGGUGUAAGAGUAGCAAUAUUCUUAGCUAAGGGAUACUAAUAAGUCGAGGGCUUGACCAA